GUAAGAUCUCUUGUCUGCCUCCAAGUUAAGAUGUCCCUUAUUCUUCCUUCGUCUUCUGCCAUGAUUGUGAGGCCUCCCUAGCCAUGUGGAACUUCAAGAAUUCUAUCACUGAACUACCAAUGCCUUUGGAAGUAUCCAAUAUUUUGGUGGUUUUGCUACCUAUGGGAUCAUGCAUAUCAGCACUUGGAAAUAAAUGUUGAAAGCAGCAGCUCUGCCACCUGUCCUCAAUAACGGGAGGGCUUUCACCUCUACAGGAAAGAAGACAGAUGGGCGACCUGAUCUAUGCUGCUUGUAAGCAUGGUAAUGACACACUUCCUGUCAAACAAGUUGGUGACAUUGACUAGGAAUGGCUUCUGGGAAAAUGUCAUGGAAGCUUUGUUACCAUCUGAGCAAAAUGGAGAUGUUUCUUGACUGAAAUACUUAGAGUGUGUGUGUGUGUGUGUGUGUGUGUGUGUGUGUGUUUAAUUUAUGUGGCCACAGUUAUUACAUGGAAGACACAUAUUUUAAUUUUGGCCAUAAAAUAUACUCAGCACCAUAAGGAAGCACCUGGAGAGCUGUGUUCCUUUUCCUGAGGCUUCCCUGUUCCUUGUGAUAACUUACAUACUUGGAAUUAUAGAAACUUAAUUUUGGUUAAAGUCUCUAAUUUGUGUGAA
RNAcentral lists this long non-coding RNA (653 nucleotides) under Pongo abelii (Sumatran orangutan). RNAcentral describes it as "lincRNA". Lineage: Eukaryota; Metazoa; Chordata; Mammalia; Primates; Hominidae. The record is from RNAcentral.